AACGAACGCUGGCGGCAUGCCUAACACAUGCAAGUCGAACGAGACCUUCGGGUCUAGUGGCGCACGGGUGCGUAACGCGUGGGAACCUGCCCUUAGGUUCGGAAUAACUCCCCGACAGGGGUGCUAAUACCGGAUAAUGUCUUCGGACCAAAGAUUUAUCGCCUUUGGAUGGGCCCGCGUUGGAUUAGCUAGUUGGUAGGGUAAAAGCCUACCAAGGCGACGAUCCAUAGCUGGUCUGAGAGGAUGAUCAGCCACACUGGGAGUGAGACACGGCCCAGACUCCUACGGGAGGCAGCAGUGGGGAAUAUUGGAAAAGGGGCGAAAGCCUGAUACAGCAAUGCAGCGUAAGUGAUGAAGGCCUUAGGGUUGUAAAGCUCUUUUAAACGGGAUGAUAAUGACAGUACCGGGAGAAUAAGCCCCGGCUAACUCCGUG
This 433-nucleotide ribosomal RNA is filed under the name uncultured bacterium. Its description in RNAcentral is "partial 16S ribosomal RNA". It matches the Rfam family "Bacterial small subunit ribosomal RNA", at positions 29 to 507 of the family's 1533-position model. The record is from RNAcentral.